AACGCGAAGAACCUUACCUGGGCUUGAACCGCACAGGACCCUCCCUAGAAAUAGGGACUUCCCGCAAGGGACCUGUGUAGAGGUGCUGCAUGGCUGUCGUCAGCUCGUGCCGUGAGGUGUUGGGUUAAGUCCCGCAACGAGCGCAACCCUUACUCAUAGUUGCUACCCGCAAGGGAGAACUCUAUGAGGACUGCUCCGGAUAACGGAGAGGAAGGUGGGGAUGAGGUCAAGUCAGCAUGGCCUUUAUGUCCAGGGCUACACACGUGUUACAAUGCGCGCUACAAAGUGUCGCGAACCCGCGAGGGGGAGCUAAUCGCAAAAAAGCGCGCUCAGUUCGGAUUGCAGUCUGCAACUCGACUGCAUGAAGCCGGAAUCGCUAGUAAUGGCGUAUCAGAUCGACGCCGUGAAUACGUUCCCGGGCCUUGUACACACCGAGACGAC
RNAcentral lists this ribosomal RNA (441 nucleotides) under uncultured bacterium. RNAcentral describes it as "bacterial SSU rRNA". It matches the Rfam family "Bacterial small subunit ribosomal RNA", at positions 958 to 1398 of the family's 1533-position model. The record is from RNAcentral.